UCGGUGCUCCUUGCAUUCUCGUGGCAGAGGAGACUAGGUGCCUGCCCGCAGCACCGCGCCCCCGGGAUCUCCAGGCGGCACCCCGGUGUGAGCGCCGCCCACUUCCAGGUGUAAACGCAGACGGGAAGGAAGGACAUCACGGACAGCGCGCAGCGGAGGAAGAGGGAAAUUUGGACGCACACACCCAGGAAGAAUGCUGUCUGAAUACUGAGGCAGAGAUUGGAGUUAUCCUGCCUCAAGCCAAAGAAUGCCAAGAAUUGCUGGCCACCCACAGAAGCCAGGAGCAAGGUGCAGAACAGAUUCUCCCUCUGAGACCCUAAUGUUGCAGGAUCGCAGGGUUCUCGCUGGAGUGGAAGAAUGAAUCUCACGGACACGAAAGAGUGAAGUGAAGUGAACUUCUAUUAAGUGAAGUGUUUGGUAACCACCCUGAUGGAGUUGGAAGGAACUGGGGGUUUCCUGAAGAAAGGGGCUUCAUCAGGUGGCGCCACAGGCUCAUGGAUGGGCCUUCCUCAGCUCGCUGGGUGGCCACCUGUGGGAUAGUUGGAAUGAAGAGAAGGAAGAAGGCUUGCUUCUGCGCGUCUCCUCAGGAGUUCAUCACGGUCAUCAGAUCAACCCACAGGAGAAUGGUCACGGAUGGUCGUAAAUCCAUACAGUUGUGAUAACUGGGUAAAUACAGAAAAAUGAGCAACCUGGACAUGGAGAGAGAGCCCCUACAAUAAGCCCGAGCAUUGUUUUGAGUGCACGCGAGAAUGACGAGAACAAACAAGUCCCUGGGGCUGGAGUCCGCCCUCCACCGUUGCACAAGUAACUUUCAUUCUGAAUCAAUGGACUCAGACUUGGUUGUUUUUAAGGGCAAGGAAUAAUCCACUUUUGAUCCUAAGAGAGAUUGAAAUGAAGCUCUGCAGGGGAGAGCUCUAUGCAGAGUUUAAAAUUGAAGCCUGACCUAAUCAAAGUUUAUAGCAUCACAAAAUAUUUAGAUCUCUUGGUGUGGCAUGUAUACAGGGGAGACUGCACAUUUUAAAUAUUUACAGCUGAUAAAUAUUUUUCAUUAUAGGACAGUGCUUGACACAUAGCGGCUUGUAGGGAAAAAUGCUUGAAUUCGGCAUGCAAGUGCAUCUGAUUUUCCCUAGGGUUAAGCUGUGGCACUGGCUAAAUGGCCAACAUUUGGCAGGCCAGUUGCCAAAACAAUUCAUUGGAUCUCUGUGCCAUCCAGUUCCCUCCUUAAGACAAUCGAAACAAGAAUGACCAAAUCAGAUUGACUCUAUGGAAAUCUAAUCAGUUGCUCCACAAUCAGAUGUAAUAGCUCUGCCAUCAAAUUAAUUUUAUUUUAUUUCAUUUACUGAAGUGACAUAUAGGCACAGUCUUUACUGUGCCUGUUCUUUCCUCAUACAUAGUGUGACAUAAUAUUAGCAUUUGAAGGGAUUCUAGAAACCUCUGGUUCUCUACUUCUCCUAUGGGAAAAAAGGAUAAGCAGUACCCUAAGUCACUAAGUAAAUGUGGGGUGUCUCUCUGGAAUGCUAAGUGUAUCUUCAGAUUGGGAGGGGAAUACAUUUAUAUGUUUAAACAAGUACAAAUAUGUCAUGAAGUAUGUAUUAGGAUAGAUUAGAUUAUGCUCUACUAACCAAGAACGUCCAAUCUCAGCGAUUUAAGACAACAAACUUACUUCUCAUUCAUGCAACAUGUCCAUGACGGUCCGCUGCGGCCUGUGUUCCAUGUUGUUCUCAUUCCAGAAUCCAGAUUGAUGGAACAGACUCUCUGUAGAACUUUGUCUAUUGUCUUAGCGAAGGAAAAGACAAGGGGUAAAUCAUGAGCUAGGUUGUAAUAUACUCACCUGGAAGCGGCAGCUGUCAUUUCCACUCAUACACCUCAUUGGCCAAAGAAGGUCAUAUAGACCUAUCUACCGUCAAAGAGGGUCAGAGAAGGGCAACUCUACUGUGUGCCCAGAAGAAAUAAGAAAUAGUUAGUGAACAGUAUUAAUAUCUACCACAGAAUGGGGUGCAAAUCUCAUAUAAACUUUAGGAUGAAACAUAAGACUUUGAAGAAGUUUCUUGAAAUGUAUGUGCACCCGCUGGAAUGAUUAAGUAUGAGAAUCCUAGAAAAUGCUGCAUGCUUGCCUGAAAUGUCUUAUUUUAUCUUAAAAUAUUUAUAAAUAUAUACAUUUACAUAAAUAUAUAUAAUGUAUACUACAUAUAAAAUAUAUAAAUGUAUAUUCCUUCCCUUAUCUUUUGAUGUCAGUCUAAGGGGAUUUCAUGACAGUGGGUUCAUUGAUUGGAUUUUCUUAUUGGCUAAUAUCCCUACGUGCCUGGUCCUGGUGAAAAUCUGAAGCCACUGGCAAAGCAAUUUAAGUGAAAAAUCUAUCAAGAUGUUCUACAAUUCUUUCCCUGUUGUCUCUUCCACACGGUAUUUGGAAGCAAUUUGCAAAUGCAAGUCACUUGCAUUUCUUAAAUAUUUCCAAUGUUUUUACAUAGCUUUCCAGCAUUCGCUGUCUGUUUAAAAAUAUUUCAAACACACAGACAAAAAUCCAUUCUUGCCUGUUUACCACCUAAACAGUAUAGUUUUCACACAGCUCUGUUUCUUUUGUAAUCAUAAUCUACACACUUAAAUAAUAUUUAAUUGAAUCAUAUAAUUAUAAUAGGUACAACAGGCCACACCCAGAUUUGGGAAUGAUACAACUCAAGUGGCAGUAACAGAAGUACAAGGGUGUGCGAGAGAGGACACAGGCCCCUAACCUCCACCAUCCCUGUGCAUCAGAUAGUGCAUUUCAAAUAACAAAUGGAGAGUACCCGCUGAUGAUCUAGUCAGGUGGUUGGUUAAAAGAACUUAUAUUAAACUUUGGUGGAAAAGUUAAGGAACACUAUCUGGGAUCCUCAUAUUGCAAUUAAUGAUUCUAAAGCCCAGAAUCUGUGAACUACUUUAAUUCAUUCAUUCAUUCACUCCUUUAUUAGUUCAUUUAUUUAUCGGUCCGUUCAGAGGCAGUAUAGGAUAGGGGAGAAGAGCAUGGAUGCUGGCACCAAAUUGUAUGGGUUUGAAUUCCAGUUUUGCUAUGUGCCCCAUGGCCAGUUUUCCCGACUGUAACAUGGGAAGAUGAGGACCUACCUCAAGGGGUUGUUGAGAAGAUUGAAUGAAAUAACCAGUGUAAGUUAUGUAAAUGUUAGCUUAUGAUAAACUCCUUCAUUUGAUGAAUCUUUGCUGAGCAAAUACCAUGUGCCAAAUAUUGCCUUAGCUGAUGGAGAAAGGAAGGUGAACAAUAAAUAGCACAGUUACCUCUCUUGGGCAGUUCUAUAGUCUAAUGCAAGAAGCCAAAUUACACUGCAGGCUUCAAAAUAAUUAGGUACAAUUUGCCUACAUUCUGUGAAGAAGGACAAGGUGGUAGGAACGAGCCUUUCCUCUCUAUAUCCUCAGAAUCAGGAGGGUCUGGCACAUACUAAGUGCUCAAGAAAAUAUUUCUGGAACGAAUGAGUAAAUAAAUAUAUGACUUACCCAUUUCGUGGAUUUGUCAGCAUUCUGCUUCUUGUUAGAGACUGGGAUUCCCGGCAGCAGGAGAGACCAGCGCUGCUUGCUAGGCAGGUCCUUCACACCUCUUCUUCCCUCUUUUACCUGUUUAGUAAAACUAAAAUCCUCUGGUUUCUAGUGUUUCUAGUUCACUAAGAUGCCUUCUGUGGGCAGCUUUUCUAAGAUGUGAACUUAGAUUGCUAGAUUCAGAAUUCUGACUUCUGUGCAAUGAUUAUCAGCACUUCUCUGUUUGUCAAUUUCAGAAAAAAUGCCAAGAGAAUAUCCUUAUACAUUUGAGCCACUAUUUUCAUAUGCUUCAAAGUGAGUUUCUUUAUUGGUAGAGGCUGAAUUUUUUGAACUUUAAGUACCUUUUGACUAGCAAGGGAUAUUACCGAAUGCUAAAUCAGUGCUAAAAAGUAAAGUGUUUUAUUGCUCCCCAAACCUAGCCUAACAGACCCACCACUUAGCAGAUCUCUGAGGCCUUCUCCAACUUCGAUGACAAACGCAUGCAGGAAAACCUGUGCUCUGGAGACCCCCUGGGGGACAGGGGUGGGGAUACACCAUUCUGGGGGGCUCGGUUUUAGCUGUAAAGAUGAAACAGAACUUUUUAAACAGUUUAGAUAGAACUUUCUUCAAGGUAAAUUUCAUGCUUCCCUGACUUCUUAGCUAGAAUGUUCUGAAAAGCCGUGUGUCCAGGUUAGCAUAACUGAUCACGGCUAAAGAAAUCUCCCCCGGGGCAGUUGUGAAGAAGAGAGUGAGCAGCCCUGAACUGGUUCUGUUUGCUCCUAUCCCUCCCACCUGUAAUAGUUUCUCAGAUGUGUAAGUUGGACACGGCUGACGAGGGCCAGACGUCUUUCCACCGCUAUGUAUAUAGUGACCCCGUGGUCUGCUAAAUGUGAGUGCACUUACAGACCCCACGGGGCAGAACACUUUGCCGUGAUCGGCCCCCAGUUUCCCGUGGGCACCGGCUGAGGUAGGUGCCUGGCACUACUCAGCUCUUUGGUUGUUGAGAAUUCACAUAGAUAAUUAAGCCUUCAAAAGCCCAAUUUGGCCAGUCGUACAGUCUUCUCCUGUCCUCUCAAACUCUGAACUGUAUCUCUCCUUCCUGGACUUGUUCUCUGUAUUCUUCUUCCUCUCUCUUCCCUCCUCCUCUUCCCGUUGCCUCCCUCGCUCCUUCUCCCUCUCUCCUUCCACUCUUCAUACUCCUCUUCCUCCUCCUCCCUCUUUCUUCAACCUUGCCCCCCUUUGCCAAAUCUUGCUCCUCCUUCCCCGUCGGCAGAAAGCCAUGCAUGUAGCUCGUCCUCUUCGUCUGCAGCUGCCCCACAGACUGAGACACAGAAUUGCCCUGAGGUGUGUCUAAACCUGCCAACUCUGUAAGCCUUCAGAUCUGGAGAUAGAGUGAGGCAUAUUUAAGGAGAACUGAUAAGAAGAAUCACCCACAAGCCUCCAGUCAACCCUUGGCAGCUUGCCGAGGAGCCCGCUCGGAGAGCACGCAGCUGAAAUGCCGCACAGAAGCCCCAGGAGUUUGUACAAUCCCCAGCUAGCAUCCCAAACCGUAGGGCAGACGGAAAGACAAUCGGAGAAGCUGGACUUAAACUGAGCAAAGCAAAAACACAAUAUUGGAUCUGGGAAGAGUUGAUGAUAGCUCAACGAAGAAUUACAAAGUGGGUUUGAAACUUCCUGUGGGAGCCCUGGGUUGGCCUGUGUUCCUGCCCCGUGGACGCCAUGCCAGUACACACAUCUCCUUUUCAUUUGUCAGCAUCCUGCUUGUUAGAGUCCGGGAUUCCGGGCAGCGGGAGAGACGGGCCCUGCUUGCUAGGCAGGUCCCGCGCUCCCGCCGCGUCUCUGCACACAUGCUUUGGAGGUGCUGCUUGUUGUCCCAGCUACAUGGGCCGGGGCUGGCUGUGUGGCAGGAGCAGGUGGUGCCUGAGGACAAGACCUUGGCUUUCCCCAAGGCAGUUCCCCCAUGUAGCCUCCCUCCCCGCUCCCCCACCACCCCAUAUUCUUUGUUUUGGACCAUUUCCUUUCUCCCUGAGCUUGCCUGGGCUACCACCCCCCUUCAUAGAACCAAAGCCUUACGCAUGCAGGAGAGAGAUGCUGGGGGGCCAGCCAGGAGGGGACAUGAAGGAGCCUCCUGGGGUGCUGGAAAUGUUCCCUAUUUUGGUCUGAGUGCUAGUUGUAUGAGAGUACACAUAUGUAAUCACUCAUCCAGCUAUACAUUUAAGAUUGUGCACCUCACUGUGUAGAAGUUAUACCAUUAAAAAGAAGAAGAAGAGAGAAUCUAGAAUUGGCAGAUCUGGGUUUGAAUCCAUUUAGGGUUGUGUGACCUCUGGCUCUUGCCAAGCCUCCCUUCCCCGCUGUAAGCGAGGAUAGUGUGUUUUGUACGUUGGCGGUGGGGUGCAUGACACGGACUGAAACGCGUCCACAGUGGAUAAAGUGCUGGGUACGGGAUUAGUGCUCAAGAACGGGUUGCAAAUAUCAUCAUUGCUGUUUGAGAAAAUUAGUCUCCGAACAUGGGAACAGAUGCAGAUGUUUUGAGUUAACGUCUCUCCACAUACUGGAGCAUCUGGACAUCAGCUUUCAAGGCCUUAACUCAAAGGUGGGAACUUUAGGCACUGAAGUAGGCUAACAGAAGAAAAUCACUGGGCAAAGAGCCUUUCAUGGGUGCUCUUUCGGUUACACCAGCCGGGCAGCCCCAGUCACCUGGCCAGCCCACACAGGCCUCAUCUCUGUCUCAUGCCCGUUCCAGCCACGUGUCUUGAAUCCUGCAGGCAAAUUCUGAUGAAUUCAUUUUUGGCAAAUAAACUCCGCUCAUACGCAAAAGGUAAACUUUUGAUCUGUGCGCCUGACACCAAUGCUGAGAAACGCAGCCAUGACUAAUGGUAUUAUUUCAGCUCAGCCCUGGAAAAUCGGAGCCUUCCUGAUUCUUUUUCUGCCCUCAUUAAAGUCUGUUUUACUCUGACCAGGAAAUGGAGGAAACCCCUGGUGUUCAUUGCUGACCUCUACUCUGCUUGUAACUACUUAGAAAUCCAUAGAACUACGGAGUGCGGGAGCCGUGCGAAGUCUUCAGGUUUAGAUGAGGGAAAACCCCUCACUCUCCAGAUGAAGCAGGAGAAGUAACUCGCACAGAGUUCAUUCAUCUCCAACAAGGACGUAUUCAGCGACUGUGUGCCAGGAUUUGUGGUUAGACCCUGGAUUACAUAAGCUGGCAUGGAAAAUUUCUUCUAGCUCCCUUCCAGAGUUCUCCCGAGCCAGACUGUAGCUCAGAUCGGUACGGCCUGCUAUUCAUUGAUGCUUCUUCAGUAGAACAAUGGUCUAGACUCGGCGCGGAGUUAAAUCGUCAAGGGAGAAGCAGCGGUGCUGGCAGCUGAUGCUGCAAACCACACAGGCUUCUACACAGCACCGGAGAAUGAAGAUAUAAUGUCAAGAGGUGCUGGGGCCAUUUUGCUGCUAGGAUGAGAAGAGCUUAAGGAUGAAGCCAAUGUGAAGAGAAGGGUGCAGGUUGUGCGUGCAUGAGUUUUCCAAGGGAAUCCCAAGUCAGAAAGGCUACGUUGCAGGAAGUCCAAUGUAUGUGCUGCAGGUCCUAGGCAAGGCAUUACUGAUUUCACCAAAGUCUGCCUGGAAUCAGCUGUGACAACAAAGGUCAUGGAAGCUGAAGGUUGAAAAGCAAACAGGAAAAAAAACACAUUUUCUUCAGCUCAGAGAUAAGCAGGAAACCCAAAGAACAUGUUCGUAACAAUAAGACCUCAGUAAUAAUACUGAAUAGAAAGUCAACCAAGUAGAUCUGACAGAAGUCCAGGCAGACAUCCAAGAGAUUCUUGUGCUGAGCUGCUGAGUCAUUCCGCGGGCCUCUCUGCCUCAUCUGUACAUUGGGGAUAUGAGCAAUGAAGCUUGUAUCUAUGAAAGUAUGAUCUCAUUGGUAUAUUUUGAAAAAAAAAUGUUUAUAAACGCAUAGAUCAUUUCUGAAAGACACAUUCUCUUGAGAGAUAGGGAUAGAGUUAAUGCACAGUCCCAUAUUCUGAAUGAUGCAUUGAAAGAUGUGGUAUGGUAUUGUCAGGAUCACCUCCAAAUUAAUUCCGAGUUCAUGACAUGUAUUAUCUAUACUACUGCAUGUAACCCCAUGCACCUGACUUCACCUAUCUUCGGAUAGUCCUGGUUCUGUCACUGGCUUGCUGUGGGAUUUAGGGGAAGUUACUUACCCUCUCUGAGCAUGGCUUUCCUUGUCUGUCAAAUGGAGAGAGAGAAAGAAGUAGGUUAAUCUCUGGGGCCUCCAGCUCUCCCAUUUCAAGAUGAGCUGGCUGUCGUGUGCUGAUGGCCUGCUCCACUCACUCUCUUAUAAAAGUCUCUAUCCUGCUAGAAGCAAGAACUUACCGGAAUUUUCCAUAUAGUUUGGAGAAAGGAGAGGCUCCGAGCUGGUGUGUGUGGGGUGGUGUAUCCAGGUGAUAGAGAAGAGGGGCCGGAGGACUUGGGAAAGACUGAAUGCUGAAGCUUGAAUGCUCAAGCUCCCAUGCUGUAGAGAAAGCCUUGUUGGGUGAAAACAAGACACAGUUCCAGCUCAGGCCCCUGCUCUGAUCUGCAGAGGGGUGAGGUGCACAAAGAACAUUGGGAGGCCCCUUCUUAGAUGUGACCUGAGGCCCAGGGAGACUGCGGGAUCUGUGUCCCCAGCUGGAACCCUAAGCCAUCAGUAGAUUCACAGCAAAAACAUCCCAACAAGUGCAAGAAGAUUCCACAAGUAAGAGUAUUUGGAUUUAAAAUGUUAAAUAACCGGGGCUCCUGGGUGGCUCAGUCAUUAAGCAUCUGCCUUCGGCUCAGAUCCUGACCCCAGGACCCUGGGAUCGAGCCCCACAUCAGGCUCCCUGCUCAGCCGAAGCCUGCUUCUCCCUCUCCUCCCAGCUUGGGCUCUCUCUCUCGCUAUCUCUGUCACUAUGUGUCUCUCUCUCUCUCAAAUAAAUAAAUAAAAUCUUUAAAUAAAAUAAAAUGUUAAAUAACCAAAGGAAGACACCUGUGUAUGAGGUAUGACCUCAUUUCUACAUAUGAUAAAGGAGAUGUUUACAAAAGCACAGAUUGUUUUGGAAACGUUAGCCCGAGACUUUAGGGCAUGGAACUGGUGGGGAUAGAGAAGGUGAGGGUGGAAAGAGGCUCACUUUUUAUUGUAGUAUGCUAGAAAAAAAAAAAAGUGUCACAUGCCAGUUUAAAUUUUCUAAUAAAAGUACCAAUUCGUUCUAAACGUGUCAGUGAGAUACGACAUGAAUUGUGCGAUGUGGGAGGUUUGUGAGCCGCUUCCCAAGCCACAAGUCAUGGGAAGUCCUGGGUUGCCUCGAGCCCAAACAUGCCCCAGGAGAGAAUGUCACUUGAUGAGAAGGUUUGGGCUUCAGAGCCAGAAGCCUGGUUCCGUCACCUGAUGCAGGGCUGGAUGGCCCUGAGCCUGCUUACCUCUGGGCCUGUUUUCUCUAUAAGACAUGAAAAGAACACCGCUUCGUAGACGGUGGGGUGGAAUCAGACAAUCGAAGUGCAAGCUUUUAUUACUAUUUCGAGGCGUAGGUGACAGCGCUACGGUAAUCCACACCAUCUGAGCGUUAUUCAUCGUCUCAGCCUGGAUCUGCCCCGACGCAGAAUCUAAUCUAGACGGAUUGAUUUUGCAAACCCCUGCAUAGCGCUGGCUACCCGCCAGGCGCUCCUCUCAAUACCACAUAGGUUGUAACUCACUUUGUCCUUGGAGGAACCCCAGGAGGUGGGUACUGUGAUUAUCACCCCCAUCUCAUAGGUGAGAAAACUGAGGCACAGUGAGGUCAAGGAAUUUGCCCAGCGUCACAGGGGCAGCAAGGGAUGAGGCCAGGAUUCCAGUCCAUGCACUGAGCAGAGGGCCUGUCCGAGACCCCCACGUGCCGCUUCCUCUGGGCAAACCCGCAGGUUUAGCCCGAUGCUUUCGAAACAAGUGGCCUUCUCAGGGAAAUGUGCUAGAUAUCCGAGUCGGGGAUGCCCCUCUGCCCCUUCUUCCCGUCCUCAGGUCUGCGAGUUAAAUAGGAACUCACGGAUUCACUGGCUUCCAGGUAGAAGCAGAAGACAAAUCGUCUGCGUCCCUCAGCCUCAGCAGCUGCCGAAAAGGCCUCCUAGGCCUCCCCAGACCGAGGCUCGGGCUCUGUGUUCUCACACCCGUGUCUUUGCUGCCUCCAGGCAAACACACACUAUUGAAUUACGCUGUGCUUACUGCCUUCAAUAAGUGUGUGCUGGGUGCCCGGUAUGUGCGUGGGACUUUCAGAGUCUACGGGAAAGCAGGCUAAAUGACCAGCGCCUGCCCUCAGGAAGCCUAAGGACUGCGACGGGAGGGCUCUCGGAAAUGCACAGGAAAAUAUCACCCACAAUAGGAUAACAGAUGGAAGGUGUUGAGUGAGUAGAGGUGCAGGAUGUGAUUCGGCCUGGGGCAGGCCAGUUCAACGUGAUGUGUGCCCACGGGAAUGGCUAUGAGAAGAGGAUAUCCCAAAGCCUGGACUUUCUUUGCAUCAUAAAACUCGUCCAACGGCCACAUCCAGUCCUGAAGUUCAGUCUCUGGAAGUGUUAGGAUACCCGAAAGUUUGCCUCCUGGAGGUUAAAUUGGUGGCUAUCCUAUUGUGAAUGAUGGAGAUCACUUCCUCCAGAAAGGCUUCCAGAGCCCCUUGAACCUGAGUUAGCCCCUUCUCUGUCCUCCCAGGUCACCCUGGGCGUGUCCCCAGCUUGGCCCUUGCGCAAGUGUCAUAAGGAUCUACUUCAACCAGAUCGGACAGGUUUUUGCUGAAGACUUCCUUGAGCUCCUGUGUUGUCAGCAGGCAGUUUUCCUCAAACUCAUUUGGUUGUCGAUUCUCAUUUGAGGAAUACCUGUUAACUAGAACUCCGGGAAGCACCAUUUAGAAGUGUCGGGCUAGCUGCAGAGGAGAGAGAACUCCCAGGACAAGGCUCCACCCUGGAGGUCUCAGAUUUUAGUGGGGAAGACAAAAGCCUAAACAAGAUAUUACAGUAUAGUCUGCUCAGGGCUAGAUUGCAGGUGUGUGCAGGGAUGUGGGAGCAGAAGGGCUCAGAGAGAAAAAGGCUCAGAGAAGGCUUCGAAGAGCAGCUGAUACAGAGCGGAGUUUUCAAGGGUGAGUUGGCAUCCACCGGGAUAAAGGGAAAGCGCACUCCAGGUAGACGGCAUUCAGGCACAAAGGCAUAGGAUUAGGAAUAACACCACUCUUCAGAAGGUGGCCACUAUGUGUAGGAGAAGCAUGAGGUUUUACUAGGAAAAUGGCUGUAAAUGAGCCUAGAAAAAAAGAGGGCAAAUCAGGAAGAGGGUUGCAUGUCAGACAUUGUGUUUAAAUAUUAUCUGGUGGUAGGUAAUGAGAAGUCAUUGAACCAUGGAGUAAGAUCAACAGCUUCCCACAGUGUAAGGACAAUUAUAGAGUGCUAUGGAGGACUGAUUGAGAAGUUGUAAACCUGGAUACAAGUGACUGGUGGAAACUGCUGGAAUGUCCAGGUGAGAGAUGCUAAGGGAUAAGCAAAUUGACAAUGGGGAAGGAAAAGUAUGAACCAAUGAACAACUAAUUAAGAGGCAAAAUUGGACUUACAGGUGGAGAAAGACAGAUGAGUCAAAGAUGACUCCCCAGUUUCUGGCUCAGAUGGUUAAGCAUCUGCCUUUGGCUCAGGUCAUGAUACCGGGGUCCAGGGAUG
Long non-coding RNA from Mirounga angustirostris (Northern elephant seal), 11169 nucleotides. RefSeq lists it as uncharacterized. The record is from RefSeq and is a predicted model, not a curated record. Lineage: Eukaryota; Metazoa; Chordata; Mammalia; Carnivora; Phocidae. The transcript is spliced from 10 exons.